This 72-nucleotide transfer RNA is filed under the name Angiostrongylus costaricensis. It matches the Rfam family "tRNA". From Rfam's summary of the family: Transfer RNA (tRNA) molecules are approximately 80 nucleotides in length. Their secondary structure includes four short double-helical elements and three loops (D, anti-codon, and T loops). The record is from Rfam by way of RNAcentral. Lineage: Eukaryota; Metazoa; Nematoda; Chromadorea; Rhabditida; Metastrongylidae.
GGGGGCAUAGCUCAGGGGUAGAGCGCUCGCUUUGCAUGCGAGAAGUCAGGGGUUCGAUUCCCCAUACAUCCA